Vibrio ezurae NBRC 102218 is the source of this 120-nucleotide small RNA. NCBI's taxonomy places the organism in Bacteria, Pseudomonadati, Pseudomonadota, Gammaproteobacteria, Vibrionales, Vibrionaceae. The record is from Rfam.
AUGUAAAAAAAUAGCCUAGGUUAUCCAUACCUAGGCUUAGGGGAAUGGCUCUGCUUUCAGAGCCUGCGCUAAUCGCAUUUCUUGAUUAAGUUUAGUACACCGCCGCUUUAUUGCCAUCGA